UGUGUGUGUGUGUGGCAAUGCUAUGUUGGUUGGUGUGUGUGUGUGUGUGUGUGAAUGCUAUGUUGGUUGGUCCCCAAAAUACUUUUUGGAAUCUCAAUUGGUCUGUGAAAUCAAAAUACCAGGCAACCACUGGUUUACGCUUAGAGGGCUCUGACAUUCAGGAAUGUUCUGUGGAUUGUUGUGUAAAAUAACAAAGGACUAGGCCGAGGGCUGCCCAGGACUCUCUCCCAUUCCCUGCCUGUCCAGGUGACCCUCAACCUCAGGACGCAGCUCAAAUCCCACCCGCACUCCCAUGCAACUGCCAACCUGAUGGCUCCCUCCUCGUGACCCUGGCUCCCUCGCAGCCCUCACAGCACCUUUUGCCUUGGCCUGUUUUCCCUGCCUUAGCUCCAGAUGGAGUGACUCACAGCCGGGACAAAGGUCCCCUCGCUCUUGCCCCUGCAGUCUACCCACAAAGCAGCCAGGAGAGCUUCUAAAAAUGCAAAGCAGGUGGCGUUCUUCUGAGUAAGCCCUCCCAUGGCUCCCUAUCUUAAUACAAAAGCUGAAAUCUCAUGACCUGUGAGGCCCUCCAGCUGGCUCGCAGCCACCCCUCCAAAACCGAGUGCCUGCCAGCGCACUGCCCACCCAGCUGCAGCCAGGCCCCCCACUGCUCAGCACCAUCUCCUCAGAGGCCCCCCCAUUCUUCCACGGGCAUGUUCCCUAUCCCCUUAGAGCACGCUUGGGCCUGAACUGAUCUUGGGUUCUGUCGCCUGUCUACCCCACUGGAAUGCAAACUCCACAGAGGCAGGGCUUUCUCUGUCCCCUGCCGCAUCCGCAGUGCCGGGAACAGUGCCUGUCAUGGAGCAGGUGCAGUCGAAUGACCGACUCCAUGAAGUGAGGUGAGUCACCCACCACGCAGGGAAGAGUGGACAUGGGUAAACGGGCGCUGCCUGGGCUCCAGGCGCACUGACUGCAUCCUGGCUGCUUGACUGAUGUGGCUAAUAAAUGACUAGAAGGCGAGCCCUCUAGGGCACAGCAGACUGGAUACUUGAUUAACCCAGGGUCUGUGUUAAUUCCAGAUGCCAAAAUAAUUUCUAGAAUUUCACCUGAGACCUAGAGGUAGUUCAUUUGAAAAUAAACAUGAUUUUCCAGAAGGCUCGAGCUUUCUCAAGGAAAGCAAUGCCCUGGACUCUCCUUCCACAAGAAAUCAGGAAGACAGGCUUUGGAAUUCCCAGUGGGGAAGCACAGUUGGAGGGGCCGGCCUCGCGCACCACAGUGCGCAACGCUGAACACAGGGCUCCCAGGCAGAGACUGGGAGGUCCCAACACCUAGACCCACAGGUGCACCCGCAUCUCCCAUGCUUUUACCCUUUCUCCUCCACCCCAUUUAUAGAAGUGAUCAGAGGUGAAUAAGGAAAUAGUGGGGGAACUGACUCCCUGGAAAGUCUGAAUUUGAGUGAAAUAAUGGGGAGAACUGAACCCCUGGAAAGUCUGAAUUCUGCUUCAUCAAAGCCCAACACGGGCCUGUUUCCCUCUGCUGUCAACCCCAGGGAAUGGGGUGUCAACGGGGCCCACAGUCAUAUUGUCUCAAGCACCGACAGCACCGCUGCAGGGACGCCCUCUACCCCCACAAGCAGAAACGCUCGACGCAACGCCGGGAACGUGUCUUUAUUAAAGAUGCAAGCAAGCACAGAAGGAUCAUGUGUAGUGCUCAGUAACAUCCAUACAGUACUAAAAAUAGAAAAAUAUAAAUGAAAUUUCACAGAAAGCAGCCUCCCUCACAGAAACACAGGCAAGGUGCUGCCGAGCCCACCAUGCGAUGCCACGUGCCACCUGCCUGGCCACGCUUCUCCCCUUUACAAACAAAAACACAAGCUUCUCUCUACACCCGUUUCAAAUACAGCACCAAGAACGGAGACCCCUUCCACAUCAGCGACCCUCCUGACCACCACUUUGGGUGCUUCCCAGCCACAUAAAUGACAGACAACCCCGGUCCCCACGGGGUUGGCUGGCUACUGGCCCCCGACUCUCCAUCGCUUCAGCGAAUGUGGGUGAGAAAAUUAGGCAGUGAAGCAAUAAAGACCUCACCUUUACUCCCUCAGAUACACGGAGGGACGAGGUGGACAGACACGCAGGCGGCCGUGCCAACCUGAUCCGAGUGAAACAGGGCUA
This is a long non-coding RNA of Gorilla gorilla gorilla (western lowland gorilla), 2150 nucleotides long. RefSeq lists it as uncharacterized. NCBI's taxonomy places the organism in Eukaryota, Metazoa, Chordata, Mammalia, Primates, Hominidae. The record is from RefSeq and is a predicted model, not a curated record. The transcript has 2 exons.